Molecule: long non-coding RNA, 1339 nt
Organism: Oreochromis aureus
Lineage: Eukaryota; Metazoa; Chordata; Actinopteri; Cichliformes; Cichlidae
Exons: 3
Source: RefSeq, a predicted model, not a curated record
UUUGCUUGCCUGUUCACCCGUCACCAGUCAUGUUUCAUUACCAGGCCUCAGUCCUCCACCUGUCGGCCUGUCUGUCUCUCUGUGCGGCCCUGAACGUGGACGUCCUGCAAGGUUAACGUGGACGUGCAUGCUCGGAUGUAGCACGGAGCUCAAGGGUUAAAGCGAGCGUCAGUUUGAUUCGUUCAGAGGGAAGCUUUGUGCAAAUGGUGUUAAUGUGGCUUUUCCAGGUACAAAGAAAGAUUAAUGUGUAUACCCAGUACAUGCAGAUGCAGCUCACUUUGUCUCUGUUUAUAGGACAUGACCAAGUAUCUGGACACAGAAACCCACUGGCAUAAUGGACUGGUGAUAAUGAUGCACUCUGAAUGCUUUCCCUGCACCACUCUGGCUCUUCUGCUCUCUUGUAAAUGUUUUUCUCCCCUGCUUGUUCUCCAGGCUAAUGAAUCUAAAGCUGGUGGGAAUAGUCUGGACGGAUGAGACACCCCCACCACCACCACCACAGCCAUCACCUCCUUCCAGCCUGUUCAGGGCCUUAAUUUCUGCUCCACAGUGUCUUCACACCCCGCGCCACUGCUGUAAAUCUUUGCUUUCUAGAGUGGGAAGAAAAGAGAAUGGCCUAGAGGGCGACCGCAGUUCACCUCCUCCCAUCUGUUGGCUCAUGCAGCUUUCGCACGAAGGCUCGUUCUUUGUGCAGCUGAGGAGGAGCGCAUCAGUUAGACGGAGACAGGCUCGGGUGAUGCAGAGGAUGUAUUGUAUGUACAAGCUACCCUGCACUGACAUGCCAUUUGGGGGAGAGGGGUCAGAUUUGCGAGUUAAUGUAAAGAAGAGUUAUUUAUUGUUGCAUAAGAGCAUGAUAAUGCAAACUGGACUGAAUAUUUUUUUUGCAAAAGUGCCAAAAUCAGCACAAAAAAUUUUCAGUUUUUACAGCAGCUCGUUGUUGCUCUUUGACCAUAUGAUGACCUCGUUACUUACAGGCUGGUCUUUUCCUGUUUUGAACUAGUAGUUUGUCAGUGGGGUCUAAUCGAGGGUGUACAAAAAGCACUGGUAACAACAUACAGUAAGAAUGGCACAGGGACAUCAAGUUUCUUAAUAAAGAGCAUCAAGAGCAACUCUGGGGCUCCCUGGUGUGUCUAGAACUUUCCUGGUGGGCUGAAUCUCUUUUCUUCUAGAAUAUUCCCUCAGCAGUGUUUUUCAGUGACGGACACAGAGAACACAUCGUUCCAAAAUCUCCCACUGUUCAGCUGUGGUAGCUGCAGUCCACAGUGAAUAAAUAUUAAAGAAGCACCGACUGGAAUUUUGGCCAAUUCUGAUUUUCUUUCUAAGAACUGUUGUUCACAGCAUA